CCUACGGGGCGCAGCAGUGGGGAAUAUUGCACAAUGGGGGGAACCCUGAUGCAGCGACGCCGCGUGAGUGAAGAAGUAUUUCGGUAUGUAAAGCUCUAUCAGCAGGGAAGAAAAUGACGGUACCUGACUAAGAAGCCCCGGCUAACUACGUGCCAGCAGCCGCGGUAAUACGUAGGGGGCAAGCGUUAUCCGGAUUUACUGGGUGUAAAGGGAGCGUAGACGGCAGAGCAAGUCUGAAGUGAAGGCCCGCGGCCCAACUGCGGGACUGCUUUGGAAACUGUAGUUCUUGAGUGAUGGAGAGGCAG
This 305-nucleotide ribosomal RNA is filed under the name uncultured bacterium. RNAcentral's name for it is "bacterial SSU rRNA". It matches the Rfam family "Bacterial small subunit ribosomal RNA", at positions 338 to 660 of the family's 1533-position model. The record is from RNAcentral.